This is a long non-coding RNA of Seriola dumerili (greater amberjack), 333 nucleotides long. RefSeq lists it as uncharacterized. The record is from RefSeq and is a predicted model, not a curated record. The transcript is spliced from 6 exons. Lineage: Eukaryota; Metazoa; Chordata; Actinopteri; Carangiformes; Carangidae.
AGAGCCGGUGAAAGAGAAAACCAAAACGGCUAAGAAAGAGCCUGCAGCUGUGCAACAGAAGAGGAGAUCAUCCUCUGAAAAGACAGAAGCGUCACCUGUCAAGAGCAAAGCCAAGACAUCUACUUCCAAGAAAGAUCCAGAUCCAGAACCACGUCCACAGCCGCUCAGACUGAGAACGAGACUAGAAACCAUCAAGAGGGCGAAUGUCACGUCUCAGGCCAAAGAGGAGAAACCUGCCAGGUCUUCGUCUGAACCAGCUAAGACAAGAUCAAAAUCAGUGGCAGAUAAGAAAAGCAAAGCUGAAAAGGCUGAAAAGAAAUCUGCAAAAGAGGC